Molecule: long non-coding RNA, 982 nt
Organism: Brachypodium distachyon (stiff brome)
Lineage: Eukaryota; Viridiplantae; Streptophyta; Magnoliopsida; Poales; Poaceae
Exons: 3
Source: RefSeq, a predicted model, not a curated record
AGGGAAGGGAGGAGGCUUUAGAGCUGGACUUGGGCGUCUUGUUCGCUACUGCUCGAACCUGCAAGAAAUCGGCUCCAAAAUUUGCUAUGCUCACAGUCAGUCUGCAUCCGGACCACGGAGUCUUCAAGAGUCACGACGGAGCUGGCCCAAUUUCGUCAGCAAUUUCGUUGGGUCAGCUACCCCAACAGACUCUGUCAGUCUAUUUAACAAGGGAGUACAGAAACAGCCGAACCGUACUGCUUCUGCUGUACUCGUGCCCAUGUGGUUCGGGGACAUGAAUUCUGUCGGCAGGAGGCAGCAGCCGCGAGCGAGUGAGCUUAGCGUUCUGAAGGAAAUGAGAAAAGUAUUGAGGAGAAAAGAAUGUCAGAAGGGCCCGGAAAUAAAGGUAUAUUCCCCUCUCUCACUCUCAUCCUGCAGAUCUCUCACACGAUCGACAAGCACACAAGUACACUGGAGUAGGUCUUCACGUCGGAGAUCCGGAGGCCGGAGCCCGGCGCAGAACACUAUCCUACGACGAAGGCGCCAACACUAUAGCACAUCACCGAUUUUCCAUUUCAGAACGACAAAUCAGAGUCAGUCCAGUACUCACCUACUGCACUCCUGGCAAUGGCAGAAUCCAGCACAUAGUCCAGUCCUGCCGAUGAGGAACCACGCGGAAAAGAAGUCAGCAUGCUUGUAAAUGAGCAGGAGAACACAGGACUAGAUGUAGACAUGUAGCUAGCCAUUACAGUUUUGGGAUCUCAACAGCGUUGAUCAAAGAGGUAAGGUUACCCUUCAAAACGUCGAUUUCACCACCCAAAAAAUUGGAUUUCAGUUUUGGGAUCUCAACAGCAUUGAUCAAAGAGGUGGGGCGUUCCUGGCUGGACCCCCUCUUUGGCUGAUGAUAAUCUGCAGCAAUGGUGGUCGAACCGCAAGGUGCCGAGGUCCCGAGGAUCGAUCAGAAGGAUGUUGAUACCGGUAUCAUACUUGUGCUCUGGUGCAC